Astatotilapia calliptera (eastern happy) is the source of this 797-nucleotide long non-coding RNA. The record is from Ensembl. NCBI's taxonomy places the organism in Eukaryota, Metazoa, Chordata, Actinopteri, Cichliformes, Cichlidae.
UAGUUGAGUUAUGCAGGGCUUUUGUGGAGUCCUUUUUUUUUUAAGUGACAUCAGAAACAGCAGCAUGUGACAUCACGUGAUGGCGGAGCUUCAGUUCAUCCUUUGUCAUCUUUUUUUUUUUUUUUUUAAUAGGACAGGGGGAAAGAAUGAAAGAAAGAGGGGGAGAGAAAGAAAGAAAACUAAAGGGGAGAAGAGACGUGUGUGGAACUGAGGUGCUUCAUCAGGAUCUCCUUCAGUUGUUGGAGGAUGGAGAAGAGGACGCAGCCAUGACUUGUGAGACGUCGUAGAGGCAGUAACAGGAGGGUUUUUGCAGCCUUCAUCAGAGUUUCACAAGCCAAUAGUUCGGCUGUUGCCUGGCCAGACCAUGUGCGUGACUGCCCAGCAGGUAACGUUGAGGUUUCAGUUGAUGGAAACCGCAAGCUUUAUCGCUUUCAGUCUAAUGCAAGUCAAACCGAGUAGGAGGUGGAGAGCCCUGAGGGAAAAAGUAAACGUGACAGACUGGAGGGCAGAAUUAAUCUUGUGUCUGGAUUUCUGUCGGGAAGAAAAAGAAAGGCGAACUGGGAAGCAAUAGGAAGGUGCCACUUUCGGGAAAAGCCCAGCAUAAUUCCUUCAAUAAGUUGUCGCCAACAUGAAUAUUGUGUGGAACUGAAGUAGUGAUGGCCAAAUGAAGCUUUCCGAAGCACUGAAGCUUGUAUUGAAAAACGGUUCAUUACUCGAAGCUUUUCAACACAGUCCUCUCCGGUGACAUCUGGUGGUGAAAAUUUUGAAGAGCAGCUUGAAUCUGCAAAAUAAAACGG